CAAGUCUUGACAUCCCUCUGAAUCCUCUAGAGAUAGAGGCGGCCUUCGGGACAGAGGUGACAGGUGGUGCAUGGUUGUCGUCAGCUCGUGUCGUGAGAUGUUGGGUUAAGUCCCGCAACGAGCGCAACCCUUGAUUUUAGUUGCCAGCACUUUAAGGUGGGCACUCUAGAAUGACUGCCGGUGACAAACCGGAGGAAGGCGGGGAUGACGUCAAAUCAUCAUGCCCCUUAUAACUUGGGCUACACACGUACUACAAUGGCUGGUACAACGGGAAGCGAAGCCGCGAGGUGGAGCCAAUCCUAUAAAAGCCAGUCUCAGUUCGGAUUGCAGGCUGCAACUCGCCUGCAUGAAGUCGGAAUUGCUAGUAAUCGCGGAUCAGCAUGCCGCGGUGAAUACGUUCCC
This 402-nucleotide ribosomal RNA is filed under the name uncultured bacterium. RNAcentral's name for it is "bacterial SSU rRNA". It matches the Rfam family "Bacterial small subunit ribosomal RNA", at positions 975 to 1375 of the family's 1533-position model. The record is from RNAcentral.